Amphibalanus amphitrite is the source of this 1643-nucleotide RNA transcript. It is a transcript of the gene named pre-mRNA-splicing factor SPF27-like, with no coding region annotated. The transcript is spliced from 2 exons. NCBI's taxonomy places the organism in Eukaryota, Metazoa, Arthropoda, Thecostraca, Balanomorpha, Balanidae. The record is from RefSeq and is a predicted model, not a curated record.
CACUAGGGUAAUUCCGUUCCAUAUAUAGAAACGUUUCUAUAUUUGGAAACGAUGUUCCAUAUAUAGAAACGCUUGUUCCAAAUAUGGAAACGCUGCGUUUCUAUAUUUGGAAACGGUAGGUGUAUGCUCACCUGUUUGACGAUCUUCGCAAGCUCUGGCGAAAUUUCGCACAAAACGGUUUCCACCAGUGACAAGCCAACAUUUGAGUUUAUAAUCGCAAGGAGGCCCGAAGAAAUCCAUGGUGGCCCUUGGUAAUGACGACGAUUUGAUUUCCGGUUUGUGUAAAAUGUAGAAGAAAUUGCGAAUAAGAGAAAAACUUCUAUUAAGGUUUCCCUUCAAAUAUGACGUCCAGAACCCGAUUUGGGCUGAUUUUUGGCAGAAUAUUGGCUAAUUUGGGCUAAAUAGAUGUUUUAAGUUUUGGCGAAAUUGAUGUGUCAUUUUCACCCGAGUGCUUCCUUGUUGCCACUAGAUGGCAUUCCACCAUCUAGAAAGUUAUAUAACGCAUCUUGCUUUAAAAUAAAUCGUCCGGAAGGUUGGCGUUUCUAUUUAUGGAACGAGCGUUUCUAUAUAUGGAACAAAAAACAUUUCAAAUAUAGAAACGUUUCCAAAUAUAGAAACGUUUCUAUAUAUGGAACGGAAUUACCCUAGUGCGCCCGACUGAUUUGAGUACAAUAACAUAUUCGAUUCAAUAUUAUCCGAUUCAUAUUCGAUUGAUAACGAUUCAAUGAGGAAAUGCUGACUGCGAUGCAUGUCUUCCAUUUUUAAAAAUGGCCGGCGAAGUUGUCGUUGAUGCCCUGCCGUACAUCGAUCAGGGUUAUGAAGAGGCGGGUGUGAGGGAGGCUGCUUUGGCCCUGGUUGAUGAAGAAACUCGUCGCUAUCGCCCGACGAAGAAUUAUUUGGACCACCUCCCGCCUUUGAAUUUAUCUCAGUAUGAGACUGAGGUGAUGCGUGCCGAGUUUGACCGACUGGCCGCCCGCCAGCCCAUGGAAAUGCUCAGCAUGAAGCGGUACGAACUGCCCACUCCUCCGUCUGGAAAGAUGACGGACAUCAGUGCCUGGAAUGAGUGUGUCGAUAACUCGAUGGCUCAGCUCGAGCACCAGGCCACCAGGAUAGAAAAUCUGGAGCUGAUGAUGGACCACGGUUGCGAAGCCUGGAAGAUUUACAAUGAGGUUCUGGUCAAGAUGGCGUCGGAUGCACAGAAACAGCUGCAGGAUGUCAAAAAGAACAUACAAGAGGUGAACUGGAAAAGGAAACAGGCGCAACAGAAUGCCGGCGGUGAGUUGAGAAGACUGGAAGAAACUUGGGUCGGCUUAGUGAGCAAGAACUAUGAAAUCGAACAAGCGUGUGUGAACCUUGAGAGAGAACUCGCAAAGCUGAAGGACGAAAUGAGCUUUGUGCAAAGCGAAUGAGUGCGCGCCGACCUUAUCAUUUGGUGUUCAUGUGUCGACUUUUUUAUUUUGUCUAGGAGCCGGUGGGCUCAUUUCACUAUUGGACGAGAUACGGGGCUAGAACGAGUUCCGCCUGUCCCGGUUGUCGCGACAGUCUGACUUCACCUACUGUGUUCCACUGCUGCUGCAGAUGGAUUUAAUGUUGCACUGUCUGGUCAGCAUUGAUAAAUACAUCAUCACGAAAGGUAUGAAAAA